This is a long non-coding RNA of Felis catus (domestic cat), 2565 nucleotides long. RefSeq lists it as uncharacterized. The record is from RefSeq and is a predicted model, not a curated record. NCBI's taxonomy places the organism in Eukaryota, Metazoa, Chordata, Mammalia, Carnivora, Felidae. The transcript is spliced from 4 exons.
CUCCUGGGCCUGACCCUCAUUGGCUCAGACCCAGUGAUGUACUCAUCUCUGAGCCAAUCAUGGUGGGCAAGGGGAGGGGCUAGCUGAGGGGCUUAGACCAUUCCGGAUCCACGCCUGGAGUGCGCAUGGGCUUUCCCAGAAGUCGCCGCAGUCACAGACGGACAGACAGCUAGAGCCCUGCCGUAGCAACCCGCCAACGUUCCUCUGCCGCAGUCGAUUCUGGAUCAUCCUGAUGUCCCUGGAAACUGAGGCUCUUGAAUCUAUGACACUUUACAAAUAGAGUCUGAGGCCCUGACCUGGGACGUCCCCAGCAAGGGAGAGCCCCGCAGUCAGGUCACCGGUUAGUUAACACGGACACUGCAGUGUCUGGAAAGGGAACAGUGGCCCCAACGAUAUGGUUCUGAGAACCUAGGACCUGCUCACCGCCCGGUGCCCAGUGGGGGCCUCCUUCGUGGGUUCAGAUUCAUGUGUGGAUUUUGAUGUCUCCAACCGCAUGACAUAGCAGCCUUGAGAAAUUUCCUCUUGGUUAAAGCAAGAGACCCUGGUAACACCACCCCACCAGGAGAAGGAAGAAGGCACGGGGUUGUGGGCUGGGUAGCAGUCUCGGCCACCGCCCACCCUGCAGCCACCCAGAUAUCGGCGCUCGCCCUUCUGCUGCACCCACGACCCACCCCCGCCGCACCCCCGGACACAGCGGCAAAGCCCCAGCCGGUCCCCGCAUCUGCCUCAAAACGCAGGGUCCCAAGGAUAACGCGGAAAACCUCCCCACCAGAAACGGUUCGACAAGCUACGAACCAGGCAGUCCCCGGCUCCCAGUCCACCCAGCAUAAGGCGGGUGAGUGGGAAGGAGACGCCGGCACGAAAAACCCCCCUCUGGAGCAAAGACUGAGAAGCACAACCUCCCCUGGUCCAUCCACGUGCGCCAAUCCGAGCGGGAGGAACAGCCAGGACGCCACGGCCCCCCGCCGGGGUCCUCGCCAGAGUGUUUGUUCCAGAACGUGUGGACCUCUGAUCUAUCAGUUGCCCAUCAGCUCUAGCCGUCAAGGCUGAAGUGUCCAGCCGUCUUCACUCACUGGCCUGCACGCGGCCCCCCCUGUCUCCUGGCGCGAUGUCCUGGCCACCCCGAGCCUCUGGGGGCCACGGGCUUUGCUGCGAACUUCACACGUCAGUGGGACGGGGCUCGGUUUUCUUUUCUGCUAAGUGUGCUGCUUUGUGGAAAACCAUCCCAGUUCCAGAUGCCGUGGGAGAGCCUCGCAGUUGCUUUUUCAACCCUGCAAGGCUCCAAAUUACCAAGCUCUCGGUCACUUUCAGUGGCAGGCUGCAGGCAGGGAGCAUCUCCAUCAUCACAGGGCGUCCCCUCUUCCCACGCCUACCCCGGCCGCUCUCUCAUAAAGCUUUGCUAACGGCAGCAAGCAGCAGCUACCACGCUUCUGCGGUAUGGCUCUCUCCUGUCAUUCCCUCCCUCGAUCCGAGCUCAGAACACGGGCCGCUUUUCAAAAAACAGUAGGGGACAGCUGUUAGCAACUGCAUCAUUUCUCCACGCUGUCGCCAGGCCUCUGGCCCACAGUGUUUGAGUCCCCGACACCUGCCAACAUCCACGGAGUCAGUGCCACAUGUCUCUGUUCUGCUACUCACAGCUCACCUCUCUUGGUCCUUUUUUUUCUAUCAGUUAAGAUUAGAUUUGCCCGGAAAAUCCAAAGGAGCAGUGGCUUCAACGGGACUUUUUAAUCUCCCGCAUUCUGAGUCCACAGUAAGGUGGUCCAUGGAUGGUCCAGUGGGACUCCAUGGCGGCAGGAACCUACCCGUCUUCUAUCUUGCUGGCGUGCCAUAUAUCAGCGCUAAUGGUGAUGCCCAGGAUGGCUGCCUCAGCGCCAGCCAUCAAAUCCUCAUUCCAACCCAGUCGAAGAAGAAGAGUGGGAACAGACAGACACAUCUGCCCUCAUCAGGGACACUUCCAGGAAGUUGCCUUCCGUUGGCCAGAACUUAGUCGCGUGGUCAUACCUGGCUCAAGGGAGGAUGGAAGGGUCACUUCCAUUGUGGAUGGCAGAAAAGUCAAGUUUCUGUUGAGGAAUGAGAGGUGAUGGAUUUGGGGGCAAUUAGGCUCUGCUUAUGUGGAAAAGUUCAGUAUCAGUGUCUCUCCUAUUCUAGCUCUAGAAUUCUCUAGCCUCCUCCUCCUUCAGGACAGAUUUAUGCCUCUGACAUGCACCUUGCAGAAGAGACAAUGACCAGACAAGGUGUGCAGUCUUCUGCCCACGCAUCAUUCUUGAGGAUGCUUUUGCUACACCUACUUCACGGGGACAUAAAGUGAGAGUCUCCGGGCUACUGUUUCUGUUGGGGAGAUUUUAACAGCUAGGAGGGCUUCGGUGCUCAGUGAAUCACAGAAGUGACCGAAACAAACACCUCCGAUGAGAAGCACCCAUAAAACCAACGAGACUAUUAAUGCAAAUAGAAAACCAACAUUGACAAAAUGCAAAAUAUUUACCUUCCCAGACUGCAGCUAGUCUUGGACUACUAAGUCAUUUAGAGGCUAAUGUUCUUAAUAAAAUCACAUUUUCCCUGAAAAUA